UGGGGAAUUUUGCGCAAUGGGGGAAACCCUGACGCAGCAACGCCGCGUGAGUGAUGAAGGCUUUCGGGUCGUAAAGCUCUGUCAGUGGGGAAGAAAUGGGACGUGCUAAUAUCACGUUUCCUUGACGGUACCCACAAAGGAAGCACCGGCUAACUCCGUGCCAGCAGCCGCGGUAAUACGGAGGGUGCAAGCGUUGUUCGGAUUUAUUGGGCGUAAAGCGCGUGUAGGCGGUUUCUUAAGUCUGAUGUGAAAGCCCUGGGCUCAACCCAGGAAGUGCAUUGGAUACUGGGAGACUUGAAUACGGGAGAGGGUAGUGGAAUUCCUAGUGUAGGAGUGAAAUCCGUAGAUAUUAGGAGGAACACCGGUGGCGAAGGCGGCUACCUGGACCGAUAUUGACGCUGAGACGCGAAAGCGUGGGGAGCAAACA
Molecule: ribosomal RNA, 427 nt
Filed under: uncultured Geobacter sp.
Lineage: Bacteria; Pseudomonadati; Thermodesulfobacteriota; Desulfuromonadia; Geobacterales; Geobacteraceae
Description: bacterial SSU rRNA
Rfam family: Bacterial small subunit ribosomal RNA
Source: RNAcentral